Cyprinodon variegatus (sheepshead minnow) is the source of this 765-nucleotide long non-coding RNA. RefSeq lists it as uncharacterized. The record is from RefSeq and is a predicted model, not a curated record. The transcript is spliced from 4 exons. NCBI's taxonomy places the organism in Eukaryota, Metazoa, Chordata, Actinopteri, Cyprinodontiformes, Cyprinodontidae.
CCAGGUAAUUCUGGUCCCUCUGACUCAGCCAAAUCCCCUGAUUACACUGGACAUGCUGCAGAUGAUUCCACAGAUGUUACAUAUUGUCUCGUUGAAUUGAAAAACAAUGACAAAAAGAGUAGGCCUCAUAACCCAGAGGACUGUACUGUUUACUCUCAAGUGAAAACAGAAGCAACAGAAAGGAGGAGCCCUGCAGCAGCAGAUGCUUUAUAUUCUGAAAUCAGUUCGGAAUCACCACUGGAUGAUGUUGCUGCGUAAGCUGCGUGCUGUGUCCUUUUGAUGGUUACCCCAAGAUAAUUUGAACCAAAUAUUCACCUUCUUCAACUUUGAAAACCAUCAAUAUUUCAUGUGCUUUUGUUUUUUAUGAGACUAAGCAUGCCUUUAAAUGCAAUAUCAGGCAUUUUUUUUUGUGUGUUGGUGUGUAUAUUUUGUUGUAUAAUUUGAAGUAGCUUCUUUUUGGGACUUCUGAAUCUCUCUUUAAUAUUUUAUAUUGUUAGAUUUAAAAGUAUUAUGUUAUAACAUGCAGUAACCAAACAAAAAAGUGAAAUAUUAUAUUUAUAAGAGAUUUUGCUCUCAUUUAAAUUUUCUGUUGUUUAGAACAUGCCAUUUAGAUCAGUCUUUGAGCAGUGAGGUGCUUGCAAUGCUUCUAUUUGCUGGUCACAUUAAAUAGAGAAUUAAUUAAAUUAUACAUAUACAUAUUACUGUAACGUAUUUAAAGAUGCUUUAAAGAUGAAAGACUAUUGUUUUCAUUUUUAAUGUGCAAUA